Molecule: microRNA precursor, 73 nt
Filed under: Mus pahari (shrew mouse)
Lineage: Eukaryota; Metazoa; Chordata; Mammalia; Rodentia; Muridae
Description: miRNA (MGP_PahariEiJ_G0007480.1)
Source: RNAcentral
CCUGGAACUCACUAUACCAGGCUGGCCUCAAAUGCACAGAUAGCUGCCUGCCUCUGCCUCCUGAGUCCUGGAA